CUGUCCGUCUGAGUCUCAUCUGCUUUAGUAUUUGAGUAGCUGCCUAACUAGUGUGGUUACAGUGGUUGUGGUUCGGGGGAGGGUCACCGGCUGGCAGGAGUAGUGCCAUUCAUAGAUUUGCCCCUAUUUGCAGUUCUACCCAUUAGGGUUCUACAGCCUUCAAUGGGCUGGUGUUGUUCCUCCCCCAGGUGAUCCCGUUUACCCUGGUUGGUGCACUAUGUGCGUGGUUGUAGUCUGUCUGAAAUCCUUUUU
Pelobates cultripes (western spadefoot toad) is the source of this 252-nucleotide non-coding RNA. The record is from the annotation of a GenBank genome assembly. Lineage: Eukaryota; Metazoa; Chordata; Amphibia; Anura; Pelobatidae.